Long non-coding RNA from Carassius gibelio (silver crucian carp), 287 nucleotides. RefSeq lists it as uncharacterized. The record is from RefSeq and is a predicted model, not a curated record. The transcript is spliced from 3 exons. NCBI's taxonomy places the organism in Eukaryota, Metazoa, Chordata, Actinopteri, Cypriniformes, Cyprinidae.
GUUUCACGAGACAACGGCCACCAUUUUGUUAAGUUCACGCGUCAGAUGGAUACAAAGCGCAAGGCUGCAUCCCAAUUGUAAUACACUAAAAAAAGAUGUUAUACAGCUGAUGGGGAAAUCCUGUACUUUUGAGUGUAUUAAAAGUACAAAGUUGAAAGUAUGAAAAUCGGAUUCAAGAUCUUUUUUUUUUGGCCUACAAUGGAGCCAAAGAAAUGGAACCAACAGUUAUUUACAAGCAAUAUAGCAGCCAUAGACCCCAGCUGGACCACACCAAUCAUCUAAUUCUG